Molecule: ribosomal RNA, 231 nt
Filed under: uncultured bacterium
Lineage: Bacteria
Description: partial 16S ribosomal RNA
Rfam family: Bacterial small subunit ribosomal RNA
Source: RNAcentral
UACAAAGGAGACUAGUGUUAAUCAUCUUUAUUAGGUUUAAAGGGUACCUAGACAGCAUUAUGAGCCUUACUUUAAGGGACUAUUUUGCUAGAGUUUUAUAUACAGGAGGAUAUUUGUAGUAUUGAAGGUGUAGAGAUAAAAUUUGUUGAUAUUCGGAAGAACACCAGUGGCGAAGGCGGCUCACUGGACUGGUAUUGACGCUGAGGUGCGAAAGCGUGGGGAGCAAACAGG